Lutra lutra (Eurasian river otter) is the source of this 860-nucleotide long non-coding RNA. RefSeq lists it as uncharacterized. The transcript has 2 exons. NCBI's taxonomy places the organism in Eukaryota, Metazoa, Chordata, Mammalia, Carnivora, Mustelidae. The record is from RefSeq and is a predicted model, not a curated record.
AUCCGUUUUCAACCACUCACUCGCACUCCACAUCUGUAAAAAGGGGUAACGGUACGGAUGGUACCUGGCUUGUUAAUACGUAUUGUUUUAAACAAGGCCUGUUACGUAAGAGGUGCUUGAUAAACAGCCAUUACGGACUCUCAUUAAAAGCUGCAACCAGGAUUAGAAUAAUCACAGAACUGUAAGGAAACUUGAGGAUAUCUGCAAAAUCGAGGCUUCCGGAGUGUCUCCUGUUUCUUUAUAGGACACCGCAGCUCUGAAUCGUUCUGGCGGCAGUUCUAGCUGCAUCUUGUUUUUUGCCCAGCUGACUGCCGCCUACUAAGUCUCUACAACUCCCAUCAUCACAAUGUGUACCUCUCCCCACAGAGCGCGACGCCGCCAGCCGGCCCUGUGUCCUGCCAGCGGGACAAGCGCUCUCGUACGGUUCGAGAGCCGGAGCUGGGUGUGUGCAGGCGUAUCUGCCCGAACCCUUGCUGCCCAUUCACGAUGGGAGAGUGACACGGUCACUACCACAUGGAAACCGGAAGCGCGAGGCAGAUUAGGAACUGCCCCAACAGCCACUGACUUAGAGAAUAACCGAACCAGCAAUUUGUUUCUAUGGAAAAAUACAUUUCAAGUUCCACAACCAACUUACAAGUAUAUUUUUGGACCACAAGACUCAAAUAUGUUAUAAAGAAAUUGUCUCCACUCAAAGUUCUUCUUUUUAACUUGAAGAAUACUACGUUAAAGAACAUGUGGAAAAAAUUAAAAAAGAGGUAUUUGACAGAAACAUGAAUAACUAUAAAUUUCCAUUACUUUUUAUUUUGGGCUGAUCAUCUAAAAUUAGAUUGUUAAAAAAUAAAUAACUUGUUAAAUGUGAA